GUAACAUUCAUCCAUAACAUUAGGCUGGAACCCUUUGAUUUUGGAGAUGCACUCCGGUCAAUUUCCUAUUACUAGUAUAUUUAAUGUCCUCCAUAGCCUUUAUAUAGGUAUAUGUAACAUUCAUCCAUAAGAUUAGGCUGGGACCCUUGGAUUUUGGAGAUGUACUCCGGGCAAUUUCCUAGCUAUUAUAUUUAAUGUCCUCCAUAGCCUUUAUAUAGGUAUAUGUAACAUUCAUCCAUAACAUUAGGCUGGAACCCUUUGAUUUUGGAGAUGCACUCCGGUCAAUUUCCUAUUACUAGUAUAUUUAAUGUCCUCCAUAGCCUUUAUAUAUGUAUAUGUAACAUUCAUCCAUAAGAUUAGGCUGGGACCCUUGGAUUUUGGAGAUGUACUCCGGGCAAUUUCCUAGCUAUUAUAUUUAAUGUCCUCCAUAGCCUUUAUAUAGGUAUAUGUAACAUUCAUCUGUAAGGUUGUACAUUCAGGUUGAGACUGGAACCCUUGGAUUUUGGAGAUGCACUCCAGUCAAUUUCCUAUUAUAUUUAAUGUCCUCCAUAGCCUUUAUAUAGGUUUAUGUAACAUUCAUCUGUAAGGUUGUACAUUCAGGUUGAGACUGGAACCCUUGGAUUUUGGAGAUACACUCCGGUCAUUUUCCUAUUAUAUUUAAUGUCCUCCAUAGCCUUUAUAUAGGUAUAUGUAACAUUCAUCCAUAAGAUUAGGCUGGGACCCUUGGAUUUUGGAGAUGUACUCUGGGCAAUUUCCUAGCUAUUAUAUUUAAUGUCCUCCAUAGCAUUUAUAUAGGUAUAUGUAACAUUCAUCCAUAACAUUAGGCUGGGACCCUUGGAUUUUGGAGAUGCACUCCGGUCAAUUUCCUAUUAUAUUUAAUGUCCUCCAUAGCCUUUAUAUAGGUAUAUGUAACAUUCAUCCAUAAGAUUAGGCUGGGACCCUUGGAUUUUGGAGAUGCAUUCUGGUAGGAUCUUAUCCUUUAACUGUUACAAAUAAUGUCUUACAUAACCAUUGUAUAGGUAUAGCUAUUUACAAUUACUGUCCUCUAUAACUUUAUAUAAGUACAUAUAGUUAUCUACAAUUGUCCCCAACAGUCCUUGUAUAUCACCAUGGUAUCUUGUUUUCAGUUCAAAAAUUGUGAGAAUGUUGUCAACUUAUAUGAGUCUUAUGAAGCUUGAUAAAACUGCUGGAGAGAAGUAUUUUUGAAAAAAUGGAAAAUAAAAUAAGUAUUUACAACGGGGGAA
Long non-coding RNA from Pecten maximus, 1244 nucleotides. RefSeq lists it as uncharacterized. Lineage: Eukaryota; Metazoa; Mollusca; Bivalvia; Pectinida; Pectinidae. The transcript has 2 exons. The record is from RefSeq and is a predicted model, not a curated record.